CCGCUCAGAGGUAAACGGGUGGAGUUGAACUGUGAUCUUUGUGGAUUUAGCUGGUGAGUGUGGUCUGAGCUUGGUCAUACUGGUUGUGUUCUGGAAUCUGCUCAGCUGCAGGUCUCUGCCUUCGGGUAGGGAUGCGCGAUGCACUUAUCAAGUGUUGUGCGUUCCAUUCUUUCGAGCCAGCUCGCCAGUGCACUUUCACAGAGUGUUCACCACGACCGGCAUCGCUGUCUGGCUGUUGUGGUUAAACCGGCCUUUCUUUGUCUUCGUGACUUUGGAUUGUCGGGAUGGCAGGUAGCUCGUUGGUCAGGCUUGUGGUUCGCUGCAGGUUUUUGGCUCUCGGGUGUUAUCAGCUGACCGCAUCGGUUCUGUGCAGUAUGUCGGAGACGGCGGCUUGUGGUACAUGCGUGCGUACUAGUUGGUU
Molecule: ribosomal RNA, 421 nt
Filed under: Anisocoelium capitellatum
Lineage: Eukaryota; Metazoa; Platyhelminthes; Trematoda; Opisthorchiida; Cryptogonimidae
Description: partial 28S ribosomal RNA
Source: RNAcentral